AGAGUUUGAUCAUGGCUCAGAUUGAACGCUGGCGGCAUGCCUUACACAUGCAAGUCGAACGGCAGCGCGGGAGCAAUCCUGGCGGCGAGUGGCGAACGGGUGAGUAAUAUAUCGGAACGUGCCCUGUAGCGGGGGAUAACCUAUCGAAAGAUGGACUAAUACCGCAUACGCUCUACGGAGGAAAGCGGGGGUCGCAAGACCUCGCACUAUAGGAGCGGCCGAUAUCGGAUUAGCUAGUUGGCGGGGUAAAAGCCCACCAAGGCGACGAUCCGUAGCUGGUCUGAGAGGAUGAUCAGCCACACUGGAACUGAGACACGGUCCAGACUCCUACGGGAGGCAGCAGUGGGGAAUUUUGGACAAUGGGCGCAAGCCUGAUCCAGCCAUGCCGCGUGAGUGAAGAAGGCCUUCGGGUUGUAAAGCUCUUUCGGCAGGAACGAAAUGGUUCGUGCUAAUACCACGGACUGAUGACGGUAACUGAAGAAGAAGCACCGGCUAACUACGUGCCAGCAGCCGCGGUAAUACGUAGGGUGCAGGCGUUAAUCGGAAUUACUGGGCGUAAAGCGUGCGCAGGCGGUUUCUUAAGUCAGAUGUGAAAGCCCCGGGCUUAACCUGGGAACUGCGUUUGAAACUGGGAGACUUGAGUGUGGCAGAGGGGGGUGGAAUUCCACGUGUAGCAGUGAAAUGCGUAGAUAUGUGGAGGAACACCGAUGGCGAAGGCAGCCCCCUGGGUUAACACUGACGCUCAUGCACGAAAGCGUGGGGAGCAAACAGGAUUAGAUACCCUAGUAGUCC
Molecule: ribosomal RNA, 792 nt
Filed under: uncultured bacterium
Lineage: Bacteria
Description: bacterial SSU rRNA
Rfam family: Bacterial small subunit ribosomal RNA
Source: RNAcentral